AGUCACUGACAUUAGAUACCCGUGUAGUCCAGGGUGUAAACGCUGCAGACUUGGUGUUGGAAGUCCUUUGGGGGCAUUCAGUGCCGGGAGAAGUUGUUAAGUCUGCUACUUGGGAGUACGUCCGCAAGGAUGAAACUUAAAGGAAUUGGCGGGGGAGCACCGCAACGGGAGGAGCGUGCGGUUUAAUUGGAUUCAACGCCGAAAAACUCACCAGCAGCGACUGUUACAUGAAAGUCAGGUUGAUGACCUUACUAGAUUUUCAG
This 263-nucleotide ribosomal RNA is filed under the name uncultured archaeon. RNAcentral describes it as "partial 16S ribosomal RNA". It matches the Rfam family "Archaeal small subunit ribosomal RNA", at positions 717 to 982 of the family's 1478-position model. The record is from RNAcentral.